This is a transfer RNA of 85 nucleotides. It matches the Rfam family "tRNA". From Rfam's summary of the family: Transfer RNA (tRNA) molecules are approximately 80 nucleotides in length. Their secondary structure includes four short double-helical elements and three loops (D, anti-codon, and T loops). Further hydrogen bonds mediate the characteristic L-shaped molecular structure. tRNAs have two regions of fundamental functional importance: the anti-codon, which is responsible for specific mRNA codon recognition, and the 3' end, to which the tRNAs corresponding amino acid is attached (by aminoacyl-tRNA synthetases). tRNAs cope with the degeneracy of the genetic code in two manners: having more than one tRNA (with a specific anti-codon) for a particular amino acid; and 'wobble' base-pairing, i.e. permitting non-standard base-pairing at the 3rd anti-codon position. The record is from Rfam.
GCCCGGUUAGCUCAAUCGGUAGAGCGUGAGACUCUUAACAGAGUUCACCAUCUCAAGGUUGCGGGUUCGACCCCCGCAUCGGGCU